UCCCAGGACAGAGAGUGCACAAACUCUGGAGGCUGAAGAGGGAUUCCAGCCCCUGCCACCCACAGACACGGGCUGACUGGGGUGUCUGCCCCCCUUGGGGGGGGGCAGCACAGGGCCUCAGGCCUGGGUGCCACCUGGCACCUAGAAGAUGCCUGUGCCCUGGUUCUUGCUGUCCUUGGCACUGGGCCGAAGCCCAGUGGUCCUUUCUCUGGAGAGGCUUGUGGGGUCUCAGGACGCUACCCACUGCUCUCCGGGCCUCUCCUGCCACCUCUGGGACAGUGACAUACUCUGCCUGCCUGGGGACAUCGUGCCUGCUCCGGGCCCCGUGCUGGCGCCUACGCACCUGCAGACAGAGCUGGUGCUGAGGUGCCAGAAGGAGACCGACUGUGACCUCUGUCUGCGUGUGGCUGUCCACUUGGCCGUGCAUGCCUCUCUCCAGGCCCAAGUCGUGCUCUCCUUCCAGGCCUACCCUACUGCCCGCUGCGUCCUGCUGGAGGUGCAAGUGCCUGCUGCCCUUGUGCAGUUUGGUCAGUCUGUGGGCUCUGUGGUAUAUGACUGCUUCGAGGCUGCCCUAGGGAGUGAGGUACGAAUCUGGUCCUAUACUCAGCCCAGGUACGAGAAGGAACUCAACCACACACAGCAGCUGCCUGCCCUGCCCUGGCUCAACGUGUCAGCAGAUGGUGACAACGUGCAUCUGGUUCUGAAUGUCUCUGAGGAGCAGCACUUCGGCCUCUCCCUGUAUUGGAAUCAGGUCCAGGGCCCCCCAAAACCCCGGUGGCACAAAAACCUGGUGAGGCCUCCCCCUUCCCAAGUCCAUUCCCACUGUAGGCUGAUGCCUGUGCAAAGGAUGCAGUGCCUUAUCAGAGAGGAUCCUUGAAGAGGACUCACCCCAAGCAAGGGAAAAUUGGUGGGGGAACUUUUGCCUUCCUGGUUUCCUUGACUUUGGCCUCCUCCUCUUCCUCCUUAUCUUCUCCAACCUUCUUCCUUUAUUUGUUCCACAGACUGGACCGCAGAUCAUUACCUUGAACCACAC
Molecule: small RNA, 1033 nt
Filed under: Pan troglodytes (chimpanzee)
Lineage: Eukaryota; Metazoa; Chordata; Mammalia; Primates; Hominidae
Description: retained intron
Source: RNAcentral